GUGGAGCAUCUCAGCUGAAUAAGCCUUCAACCUUAUCUAGCCGCAUCCAAGGGUGAAUAGAUUGUUCCAACAUGACUCUACUGAUAGAAAAUUCCUUUUGUUUUUCAAAUAUUCAUUUAAAUUUUACCUUCCUCUGUGCCAGUUCUGAAGAGCUGGAGGAAAGGUCAGUCCUAAGGACUGAAAUGUAGCUUCCUCCUGUGCAGUGCAAAGGCUCUCAAGGCAGACGAAAACACAGCAAGAGGAGCAAAGAGAAAUCUCUCUACAGCCUGAAGAUGUCAAUCUGUGACUGGCAGUGUUUGGAAUAACACAGAGAACUUCUAAGUUCUGCCUGGAAGGUCCUUCAGGGCUGAGCAGGGAGUCCUGCUUGAAAAGCAUCCUGAUGCUUCGUAGAAAAGGGUGUGUUUGUAUUUAUGUGGACACUUACGUGACUGCAUCAUCCUUUGGUAGCUGCAAGGAAAUUUGAGCCCCAGGCACCUUAUCCAGAGUCCUUCCUGGGCUGGGCUAUAGACGAAUGGUUGUACCCACAGCAGAAGGAAGGCGAAGGGUCCAAACAGCAGCUCUGCAAAGCCUUGUGUCAGGGAAGUAGGCAGAAACAAAGCUGGAGGUCCCUGCUGUGGUGGCUGUCCAAAACUGAUGUAGCGAUGUUGUUUACUGCCAUGGGUGGACAGGAGGGAAAACGCAUGGUGGUUUUGGCGUGGUACACUUUGGACAGAUUAGAAAAUACUCUGCUAAUUAGGGGAAUUCCAGGCAUGUACAGGAAGCAUAUUUCAAUAACCCAUGAUUAUGUUGGGUUUCAUGUAAAGCUAUUUGUUUGGCUGCCAAAGUGUUUUAUGGUGUGAUGCCAACUAUAAUAUAUUCAGAACACAAGCUAAAAACUCUAAACUUUGAUGCUUGAUGAGUUCAUAGGAUGGGAACACAAAGACAAAGAACCUUGAAAACCUCAACAUGAAUAAUUAAGGUAAAUAGACAGACUGUUCUGUAUAGUGAUUAAAACGUAAGUAACUUUUGGGCAUUACAUAGCUAUCCAGAAAUUCAAAACUUUUUAAAACAAAAGCAUGUACUGUAGUAUCUCUAUUAUCUAACUAUAACACUACACAAUUUAUUAUGAGCUGACUUGCUUGUUCUCCUUUGUGGAAUGAGCACGCUGCCAUUCCAACAUAUUUCCAGCCUCAGAGAAAUACUGGCAUCCUUUAAAAAUACAUUGAAAUAAAAGUCACCUGCAUGUGAAAUUUUUCA
Anser brachyrhynchus (Pink-footed goose) is the source of this 1236-nucleotide long non-coding RNA. NCBI's taxonomy places the organism in Eukaryota, Metazoa, Chordata, Aves, Anseriformes, Anatidae. The record is from Ensembl.